This 468-nucleotide ribosomal RNA is filed under the name uncultured bacterium. RNAcentral describes it as "partial 16S ribosomal RNA". It matches the Rfam family "Bacterial small subunit ribosomal RNA", at positions 28 to 507 of the family's 1533-position model. The record is from RNAcentral.
GACGAACGCUGGCGGAGUGCUUAACACAUGCAAGUCGAACGGAAAGGCCCUGCUUUUGUGGGGUGCUCGAGUGGCGAACGGGUGAGUAACACGUGAGUAACCUGCCCUUGACUUUGGGAUAACUUCAGGAAACUGGGGCUAAUACCGGAUAGGAGCUCCUGCUGCAUGGUGGGGGUUGGAAAGUUUCGGCGGUUGGGGCUGGACUCGCGGCUUAUCAGCUUGUUGGUGGGGUAGUGGCUUACCAAGGCUUUGACGGGUAGCCGGCCUGGGAGGGUGACCGGCCACAAUGGGACUGCGAGACGGCCCAGACUCCUACGGGAGGCAGCAGUCGAGAAUAUUGCACAAUGGGCGGAAGCCUGAUGCAGCAACGCCGCGUGCGGGAUGACGGCCUUCGGGUUGUAAACCGCUGUCGCCUGUGACGAAGCGUGAGUGACGGUAAUGGGUAAAGAAGCACCGGCUAACUACGUG